This 459-nucleotide ribosomal RNA is filed under the name uncultured Streptococcus sp. Its description in RNAcentral is "bacterial SSU rRNA". It matches the Rfam family "Bacterial small subunit ribosomal RNA", at positions 341 to 792 of the family's 1533-position model. Lineage: Bacteria; Bacillati; Bacillota; Bacilli; Lactobacillales; Streptococcaceae. The record is from RNAcentral.
ACGGGAGGCAGCAGUAGGGAAUCUUCGGCAAUGGGGGCAACCCUGACCGAGCAACGCCGCGUGAGUGAAGAAGGUUUUCGGAUCGUAAAGCUCUGUUGUAAGUCAAGAACGUUGGUGAGAGUGGAAAGUUCACCAAGUGACGGUAGCUUACCAGAAAGGGACGGCUAACUACGUGCCAGCAGCCGCGGUAAUACGUAGGUCCCGAGCGUUGUCCGGAUUUAUUGGGCGUAAAGCGAGCGCAGGCGGUUUGAUAAGUCUGAAGUUAAAGGCUGUGGCUCAACCAUAGUACGCUUUGGAAACUGUCGAACUUGAGUGCAGAAGGGGAGAGUGGAAUUCCAUGUGUAGCGGUGAAAUGCGUAGAUAUAUGGAGGAACACCGGUGGCGAAAGCGGCUCUCUGGUCUGUAACUGACGCUGAGGCUCGAAAGCGUGGGGAGCGAACAGGAUUAGAUACCCUGGUA